UCACGUUUGCGUCGUCGUUGAAAGCAUGGAGCGCAAGUUCCUUUUACUGUCUAUUGCAAGUUCACCCCCCACUUUCAAAUUCGUUUGUUGUGAUUUUUAACCGCCCGCCGUCAUUGCCUCGGAGGAGCAGGAACGAGCCUGUGUAAAAUAGCUCACUGAACGUUAUAAUGACCUGCCAGAGCACAUACUGUAUAGCGGUUGCGGCACAGACAGCGAUGGAACGCCAGAAACAACAACGGGUAUCUUUAAUGUCAUGGAUGAAAAGAAGGAUACUCUCCGUGAGGUUGAACCCCCCACUCUUAAAGUGAACUCUCAUUCCCAGUCAGAAGCCAGAGAUGUGCAGAAGUUGACAGUUGUCAGUGAUCAAUCAGUGUUAAUGAAAUCAAGGGUCUGUGUAUCCACCGAAGGACUGGAAAAGGU
Long non-coding RNA from Xyrauchen texanus (razorback sucker), 420 nucleotides. RefSeq lists it as uncharacterized. The record is from RefSeq and is a predicted model, not a curated record. Lineage: Eukaryota; Metazoa; Chordata; Actinopteri; Cypriniformes; Catostomidae. The transcript has 3 exons.